This 404-nucleotide ribosomal RNA is filed under the name uncultured bacterium. Its description in RNAcentral is "bacterial SSU rRNA". It matches the Rfam family "Bacterial small subunit ribosomal RNA", at positions 43 to 434 of the family's 1533-position model. The record is from RNAcentral.
CAGGCCUAACACAUGCAAGUCGAGCGAGAAAGGGGAAACCCCGGUAAAGCGGCGCACGGGUGAGUAACACGUAGGUAAUUUACCCCCAGGUGGUGGAUAACCUUCCGAAAGGAGGGCUAAUACAGCAUAAGACCACGUCUUCGCAAGGAGAUGAGGUCAAAGCCGGCCUCUUCAUGAAAGCUGGCGCCAGGGGAUGAGCCUGCGGCCCAUCACGGUAGUUGGUAGGGUAAUGGCCUACCAAGCCUAAGACGGGUAGCUGGUCUGAGAGGAUGAUCAGCCACACUGGGACUGAGACACGGCCCAGACUCCUACGGGAGGCAGCAGUGGGGAAUAUUGGACAAUGGGCGAAAGCCUGAUCCAGCAAUGCCGCGUGAGUGAUGAAGGCCUUAGGGUUGUAAAGCUCU